UACGUAGGGGGCAAGCGUUGUCCGGAUUUAUUGGGCGUAAAGAGCUCGUAGGCGGUGUGUCACGUCGGCCGUGAAAACCUGCAGCUUAACUGUGGGCAUGCGGUCGAUACGGGCAUCACUGGAGUUCGGCAGGGGAGACUGGAAUUCCUGGUGUAGCGGUGAAAUGCGCAGAUAUCAGGAGGAACACCGGUGGCGAAGGCGGGUCUCUGGGCCGAUACUGACGCUGAGGAGCGAAAGCGUGGGGAGCAAACAGG
This 254-nucleotide ribosomal RNA is filed under the name uncultured bacterium. RNAcentral's name for it is "partial 16S ribosomal RNA". It matches the Rfam family "Bacterial small subunit ribosomal RNA", at positions 524 to 776 of the family's 1533-position model. The record is from RNAcentral.